Molecule: unclassified non-coding RNA, 25 nt
Filed under: Mus musculus (house mouse)
Lineage: Eukaryota; Metazoa; Chordata; Mammalia; Rodentia; Muridae
Description: oocyte_clustered_small_RNA8349
Source: RNAcentral
UAAGAGGCACGCAAGGCCAGCAGGU